UGGGGAAUAUUGGACAAUGGGCGCAAGCCUGAUCCAGCCAUGCCGCGUGGAUGAUGAAGGCCCUAGGGUUGUAAAGUCCUUUCGGCGGGGAAGAUAAUGACGGUACCCGCAGAAGAAGCCCCGGCUAACUUCGUGCCAGCAGCCGCGGUAAUACGAAGGGGGCUAGCGUUGCUCGGAAUCACUGGGCGUAAAGCGCACGUAGGCGGAUUCUUAAGUCGGUGGUGAAAUCCUGGAGCUCAACUCCAGAACUGCCUCCGAUACUGAGAGUCUUCGAGUCCGGGAGAGGUGAGUGGAACUGCGAGUGUAGAGGUGAAAUUCGUAGAUAUUCGCAAGAACACCAGUGGCGAAGGCGGCUCACUGGCCCGAUACUGACGCUGAGGUGCGAAAGCGUGGGGAGCAAACAGGAUUAGAUACCCCCGUAGUCCCUGAGCGGGCUGGCAAGGCGCAU
Molecule: ribosomal RNA, 448 nt
Filed under: uncultured bacterium
Lineage: Bacteria
Description: bacterial SSU rRNA
Rfam family: Bacterial small subunit ribosomal RNA
Source: RNAcentral